RNAcentral lists this ribosomal RNA (253 nucleotides) under uncultured bacterium. Its description in RNAcentral is "partial 16S ribosomal RNA". It matches the Rfam family "Bacterial small subunit ribosomal RNA", at positions 524 to 776 of the family's 1533-position model. The record is from RNAcentral.
UACGUAGGGGGCGAGCGUUGUCCGGAAUUAUUGGGCGUAAAGAGCUCGUAGGUGGCCUGUCGCGUCGGCUGUGAAAACUCGGGGCUCAACUCCGAGCUUGCAGUCGAUACGGGCAGGCUAGAGUUCGGCAGGGGAGACUGGAAUUCCUGGUGUAGCGGUGAAAUGCGCAGAUAUCAGGAGGAACACCGGUGGCGAAGGCGGGUCUCUGGGCCGUUACUGACGCUGAGGAGCGAAAGCGUGGGGAGCGAACAGG